Molecule: ribosomal RNA, 305 nt
Filed under: Vibrio cholerae
Lineage: Bacteria; Pseudomonadati; Pseudomonadota; Gammaproteobacteria; Vibrionales; Vibrionaceae
Description: bacterial SSU rRNA
Rfam family: Bacterial small subunit ribosomal RNA
Source: RNAcentral
GGAUUAGAUACCCUGGUAGUCCACGCCGUAAACGAUGUCUACUUGGAGGUUGUGCCCUAGAGGUGUGGCUUUCGGAGCUAACGCGUUAAGUAGACCGCCUGGGGAGUACGGUCGCAAGAUUAAAACUCAAAUGAAUUGACGGGGGCCCGCACAAGCGGUGGAGCAUGUGGUUUAAUUCGAUGCAACGCGAAGAACCUUACCUACUCUUGACAUCCAGAGAAUCUAGCGGAGACGCUGGAGUGCCUUCGGGAGCUCUGAGACAGGUGCUGCAUGGCUGUCGUCAGCUCGUGUUGUGAAAUGUUGGG